GGUGGUGUAGUUAAGUGUAGAACAUUUGCCUAGCAUGCACAAUGCCCUGGGUUAGAUCCCCAGCACUGCAA
RNAcentral lists this transfer RNA (71 nucleotides) under Heterocephalus glaber (naked mole-rat). It matches the Rfam family "tRNA". Rfam says of the family: Transfer RNA (tRNA) molecules are approximately 80 nucleotides in length. Their secondary structure includes four short double-helical elements and three loops (D, anti-codon, and T loops). The record is from Rfam by way of RNAcentral. Lineage: Eukaryota; Metazoa; Chordata; Mammalia; Rodentia; Bathyergidae.